This 465-nucleotide ribosomal RNA is filed under the name Vreelandella stevensii. Its description in RNAcentral is "partial 16S ribosomal RNA". It matches the Rfam family "Bacterial small subunit ribosomal RNA", at positions 338 to 795 of the family's 1533-position model. The record is from RNAcentral. Lineage: Bacteria; Pseudomonadati; Pseudomonadota; Gammaproteobacteria; Oceanospirillales; Halomonadaceae.
CCUACGGGGGGCUGCAGUGGGGAAUAUUGCACAAUGGGCGAAAGCCUGAUCCAGCCAUGCCGCGUGUGUGAAGAAGGCCUUCGGGUUGUAAAGCACUUUCAGUGGGGAAGAAAGCCUUGGGGCUAAUACCCUCGAGGAAGGACAUCACCCACAGAAGAAGCACCGGCUAACUCCGUGCCAGCAGCCGCGGUAAUACGGAGGGUGCGAGCGUUAAUCGGAAUUACUGGGCGUAAAGCGCGCGUAGGCGGUCUGAUAAGCCGGUUGUGAAAGCCCCGGGCUCAACCUGGGAACGGCAUCCGGAACUGUCAGGCUAGAGUGCAGGAGAGGAAGAUAGAAUUCCCGGUGUAGCGGUGAAAUGCGUAGAGAUCGGGAGGAAUACCAGUGGCGAAGGCGGCCUUCUGGACUGGCACUGACGCUGAGGUGCGAAAGCGUGGGUAGCAAACAGGAUUAGAUACCCUGGUAGUC